GGGAGUGUAGCUCAGUAGGUAGAGCAACGCACUUUUAAUGCGUAGGUCUUGGGUUCGAGCCCCAACACUCUCA
This 73-nucleotide transfer RNA is filed under the name Sedimentisphaerales bacterium. RNAcentral's name for it is "tRNA-Lys". It matches the Rfam family "tRNA". Rfam says of the family: Transfer RNA (tRNA) molecules are approximately 80 nucleotides in length. Their secondary structure includes four short double-helical elements and three loops (D, anti-codon, and T loops). Further hydrogen bonds mediate the characteristic L-shaped molecular structure. tRNAs have two regions of fundamental functional importance: the anti-codon, which is responsible for specific mRNA codon recognition, and the 3' end, to which the tRNAs corresponding amino acid is attached (by aminoacyl-tRNA synthetases). tRNAs cope with the degeneracy of the genetic code in two manners: having more than one tRNA (with a specific anti-codon) for a particular amino acid; and 'wobble' base-pairing, i.e. permitting non-standard base-pairing at the 3rd anti-codon position. Lineage: Bacteria; Pseudomonadati; Planctomycetota; Phycisphaerae; Sedimentisphaerales. RNAcentral also lists the same sequence under 1 other name. The record is from RNAcentral.